Molecule: ribosomal RNA, 381 nt
Filed under: uncultured marine Chaetocerotaceae
Lineage: Eukaryota; Bacillariophyta; Thalassiosirophyceae; Chaetocerotales; Chaetocerotaceae
Description: SSU rRNA
Rfam family: Eukaryotic small subunit ribosomal RNA
Source: RNAcentral
AGCUCCAAUAGCGUAUAUUAAAGUUGCUGCAGUUAAAAAGCUCGUAGUUGCAUUUCCGAGGCAAGGGAUUAGUCCGACCUUUGGUGGGUAUUUAAUCCUCUUGCCUCGUCCUUGAGUGGUGCUUCUUGGUAUUAAGUUAUCGAGGAGAUAGCCGCUCAUCGUUUACUGUGAGAAAAUUAGAGUGUUCAAAGCAGGCUUAUGCCGUUGAAUAUAUUAGCAUGGAAUAAUAAGAUAGGACCUCGGUACUAUUUUGUUGUUUUGAGAACCAAGGUAAUGAUGAAUAGGGACAGUUGGGGGUAUUCGUAUUCAGUUGUCAGAGGUGAAAUUCUUAGAUUUACGUAAGACGAACUACUGCGAAAGCAUUUACCAAGGAUGUUUUCA